RNAcentral lists this ribosomal RNA (610 nucleotides) under uncultured Thermoprotei archaeon. RNAcentral's name for it is "bacterial SSU rRNA". It matches the Rfam family "Archaeal small subunit ribosomal RNA", at positions 187 to 805 of the family's 1478-position model. The record is from RNAcentral. Lineage: Archaea; Thermoproteati; Thermoproteota; Thermoprotei.
UCUAUAUGGCCUUUGGAUUGGACUGCGUCCGAUCAGGCUGUUGGUGAGGUAAUGGCCCACCAAACCUGUAACCGGUACGGGCUCUGAGAGGAGGAGCCCGGAGAUGGGUACUGAGAAAAGGACCCAGGCCCUAUGGGGCGCAGCAGGCGCGAAACCUCUGCAAUAGGCGAAAGCCUGACAGGGUUACUCUGAGUGACUUUCGCUAAGAAAGUCUUUUGACACCUCUAAAAAUGGUGUAGAAUAAGGGGUGGGCAAGUCUGGUGUCAGCCGCCGCGGUAAUACCAGCACCCCGAGUGGUCGGGACGAUUAUUGGGCCUAAAGCAUCCGUAGCCGGUUUUACAAGUCCUCCGUUAAAUCCAGCUGCUUAACAGAUGGGCUGCGGAGGAUACUAUAAGACUAGGAGGCAGGAGAGGCAAGCGGUACUCAGUGGGUAGGGGUAAAAUCCGUUGAUCCAUUGAAGACCACCAGUGGCGAAGGCGGCUUGCCAGAAUGCGCUCGACGGUGAGGGAUGAAAGCUGGGGGAGCAAACCGGAUUAGAUACCCGGGUAGUCCCAGCUGUAAACGAUGCAGACUCGGUGAUGGACUAGCUUCAUGCUAGUCCAGUGCCGCA